GUUUUGUCUCUCCAGGUGUCCCUUAAAAUCUGUACAUUAUUUUACCAUAUUGUUUUCUCCACCUGUGGGAUAGGAUUUUCACAAAUGCCAUUGUUUGAACAGUCAUAGAAAUGUAAUUGUAUGCAUCUUGCUAAAGAAAUCCUAUGUCUCGUAACCAUUGUUAUUUGGAGAUAUAAUUAUAAUAAUUUGGUUUAGAAUUUGAGAUUCUGAAUGCUGUGUCAAUUGUUCAUGAUGGAAACUUAGUUCACAUUUGGAAAUUUUCUUAUCU
Pelobates cultripes (western spadefoot toad) is the source of this 268-nucleotide non-coding RNA. The record is from the annotation of a GenBank genome assembly. Lineage: Eukaryota; Metazoa; Chordata; Amphibia; Anura; Pelobatidae.